RNAcentral lists this ribosomal RNA (426 nucleotides) under uncultured Rhodocyclaceae bacterium. RNAcentral describes it as "bacterial SSU rRNA". It matches the Rfam family "Bacterial small subunit ribosomal RNA", at positions 356 to 774 of the family's 1533-position model. The record is from RNAcentral. Lineage: Bacteria; Pseudomonadati; Pseudomonadota; Betaproteobacteria; Rhodocyclales; Rhodocyclaceae.
GGGGAAUUUUGGACAAUGGGCGCAAGCCUGAUCCAGCAAUGCCGCGUGCAGGAUGAAGGCCUUCGGGUUGUAAACUGCUUUUGUACGGAACGAAAAGCCUCUCUCUAAUACCCUGUAUGGAUGACGGUACCGGAAUAAGAAGCACCGGCUAACUACGUGCCAGCAGCCGCGGUAAUACGUAGGGUGCGAGCGUUAAUCGGAAUUACUGGGCGUAAAGCGUGCGCAGGCGGUUUUGUAAGACAGGCGUGAAAUCCCCGGGCUCAACCUGGGAACUGCGCUUGUGACUGCAAGACUAGAGUACGGCAGAGGGGGGUGGAAUUCCACGUGUAGCAGUGAAAUGCGUAGAGAUGUGGAGGAACACCAAUGGCGAAGGCAGCCCCCUGGGUCGAUACUGACGCUCAUGCACGAAAGCGUGGGGAGCAAACA